This 508-nucleotide ribosomal RNA is filed under the name uncultured archaeon. RNAcentral's name for it is "bacterial SSU rRNA". It matches the Rfam family "Archaeal small subunit ribosomal RNA", at positions 474 to 981 of the family's 1478-position model. The record is from RNAcentral.
CACCGGCAGCUCAAGUGGUGGCCGUUUUUAUUGGGCCUAAAGCGUUCGUAGCCGGCCGGAUAAGUCUCUUGAGAAAUCUGGCAGCUUAACUGUCAGGCUUUCAGGAGAUACUGUCUGGCUCGAGGCCGGGAGAGGUGAGAGGUACUUCAGGGGUAGGGGUGAAAUCUUGUAAUCCUUGAAGGACCACCAGUGGCGAAGGCGUCUCACCAGAACGGACCUGACGGCAAGGGACGAAAGCUAGGGGCACGAACCGGAUUAGAUACCCGGGUAGUCCUAGCCGUAAACGAUACUCGCUAGGUGUCGGCCACGGUGCGACCGUUGUCGGUGCCGUAGGGAAGCCGUGAAGCGAGCCACCUGGGAAGUACGGCCGCAAGGCUGAAACUUAAAGGAAUUGGCGGGGGAGCACCACAACGGGUGGAGCUUGCGGUUUAAUUGGAUUCAACGCCGGAAAUCUUACCGGGACCGACAGCAAUAUGAAGGCCAGGCUGAAGACUUUGCCGGAUUAGCU